UUUGGCGGCGGUUUAGUCUAGUCAGAGGAACCUGCUUUUGGAUCGAUAUGACACGUAGAAUCUAACUUAUUUUUGUUUAUAGUUUGUAUACCAUCAUUAAUAGAUGAUUUUUAAAAAAUAGAAUUAUUAUAAUUAAUUAUUUAAAAAAAUUAGAUCAAGGUGCAGCUUAUGAAUAAGUUAAAGUGGGUUACAAUAAGUUUUACUUAAACGGAAUAAGAUUAGAAUUUUUUUAAAGAAGGUGGAUUUGAUUGUAAUAUAAAUUUAAUAAGUUUAUAGGAUAGGAGCUCUAAGCUGUGUACACAUCGCC
Molecule: ribosomal RNA, 307 nt
Filed under: Potamonautes rayboldi
Lineage: Eukaryota; Metazoa; Arthropoda; Malacostraca; Decapoda; Potamonautidae
Description: partial 12S ribosomal RNA
Source: RNAcentral